UCCCUGGUAGCUCAGAUGGUAAAGCGUCUGCUUACAAUGCGGGAGACCUGGGUUUGAUCCCUGGGUAGGGAA
RNAcentral lists this transfer RNA (72 nucleotides) under Ovis aries (sheep). It matches the Rfam family "tRNA". From Rfam's summary of the family: Transfer RNA (tRNA) molecules are approximately 80 nucleotides in length. Lineage: Eukaryota; Metazoa; Chordata; Mammalia; Artiodactyla; Bovidae. The record is from Rfam by way of RNAcentral.